UCUGGUGGUGGGGCUGAGGCGGUCGUGAGGGGCUCGGUAUGGCUGGCAGCACCAAGUCUUUUCUGGCUGAUGCGGGCUACGGCGAGCAAGAGUUGGAUGCCAACUCCGCCCUGAUGGAGCUGGACAAAGGCCUCAGAUCUGGCAAGCUCGGGGAGCAGUGCGAAGCCGUCGUUCGUUUUCCCAGGCUCUUCCAGAAAUAUCCUUUCCCUAUUCUCAUUAAUUCAGCUUUCCUGAAGCUGGCUGAUGUUUUCAGAGUGGGAAACAACUUCCUGAGGCUGUGUGUACUAAAAGUUACGCAGCAGAGUGAGAAGCACUUGGAGAAGAUCCUGAACGUGGAUGAGUUUGUCAAAAGAGUUUUCUCAGUAAUUCACAGUAAUGAUCCAGUUGCUCGGGCUAUUACACUUCGGAUGUUGGGCAGCAUGGCAUCUAUUAUUCCAGAAAGGAAGAAUGCACAUCACAGUAUUCGUCAGAGUUUGGAUUCUCAUGAUAAUGUGGAAGUUGAAGCUGCUAUAUUUGCUGCUGCCAACUUUUCUGCACAGUCCAAGGAUUUUGCUGCUGGAAUAUGUAAUAAGAUCAGUGAGAUGAUCCAAGGUCUUGCCACACCUGUGGACUUAAAAUUGAAGUUGAUCCCUAUUCUGCAGCACAUGCAUCAUGAUGCUAGCCUGGCCUCCAGCUCCCGGCAGCUGCUUCAGCAGCUGGUAACAUCAUAUCCUUCUACCAAGAUGGUCAUUGUUACUCUGCACACCUUCACUCUGCUUGCUGCUUCUUCUUUGGUUGACAUUCCUAAGCAGAUCCAACUUCUGUUGCAGUACUUGCAGAAUGAUCCGAGGAAGGCUGUGAAGAGGCUUGCAGUCCAAGACUUGAAGCUAUUGGCCAAUAAGACACCACACACCUGGAGCAGAGAAAAUAUUCAGGCACUCUGUGAAUCUGCUCUUCACACUCCUUAUGACAGCUUGAAACUGGGCAUGCUAUCUGUUCUUUCCACAUUGUCGGGGACCAUUGCCAUUAAGCAGUACUUCAGCAGUGCUCCAGGAACGGCAGCUACACCUGCAAAAUCAUUUGAUUUGGUAAAACUAGCACAGGAAUGCUGUUACCAUAAUAACCGUGGCAUUGCAGCUCAUGGUGUGAGAAUUCUGACUAAUAUAUCAUCCUCUUGUCAGGACAAAGAUCUUCUGCCUUUGGAGCAAGAUGCAGUUUUUGGCUUAGAAGCUCUUCUUCUUCUUUGUAGUCAAGAUGACAGUCCAGGAGCUCAGGCAACCUUAAAGAUCACAUUAACUUGUAUGGUGAAGCUGGUCAAGUGCCGUCCUCACCUGAGCCAGUCAGUGGUUGAAUGCCUGCUGACCCAGCUGCACAGUGCCCAGGACACUGCUAGGAUUCUCAUGUGCCACUGCUUAGCAGCUAUUGCCAUGCAGCUGCCUGUCUUAGCAGAUGGCAUACUAGAAGACCUAAUGGACCUGUAUAAAUUAAUUGGACAAUCUGCUACAGACAAGAAACAGGAACUGCUGGUUUCUCUUGCCACAGUGAUAUUUGUUUCUAGUCAGAAAGCUUUAUCUUCAGAAAUCAAAACUGUUAUCAAACAGCAGCUUGAAAAUGCCUCCAAUGGAUGGACAGCCUACAGGAUAGCCAGGCAGGCUUCCAGAAUGGGCAACCAUGACAUGGCCAGAGAGCUGUAUCAAAGUCUGCUGACUCAAGUGGCAUCAGAACACUUCUACUUCUGGCUGAACAGCUUGAAGGAGUUCUCCCAUGCAGAGCAAUGCCUGACAGGUUUGCAGGAGGACAACUACAGUUCAGCCCUUUCUUGCAUUGCGGAAGCUUUAAAAUCCUAUCACAAAGGAAUAGCUUCACUGACGGCUGCUAGCACUCCACUUAAUCCUCUGAGCUUUCAAUGUGGAUUUGUGAAACUCAGGAUUGACCUUCUGCAAGCUUUUUCUCAACUUAUUUGUACCUGCAACAGCCUAAAAACAAGUCCACCACCAGCUAUUGCCACAACAAUUGCUAUGACAUCAGGAAACGAUCUGCAGAGGUGUGGGCGCAUCUCUAACCAGAUGAAGCACUCAAUGGAGGAGUUUCGAAACCUGGCUACACGGUAUGCUGAUCUGUAUCAAUCAUCUUUUGAUGCAGACUCAGCAACUCUAAGGAAUGUAGAACUACAGCAGCAGAGCUGCCUGUUGAUUUCACAUGCAAUUGAAGCUCUGAUUUUGGAUCCAGAAUCUGCGAAUUUCCAGGAAUAUAGCUCAAAUGGAACAGCACAUGUUGAGAGUGAAUAUGAAAGAAGAAUGUUGUCUGUUUUUAAUCAUGUACUGGAAGAAGUAGAAUCACUCAACAGGAAGUAUGCUCCGGUGUCUUACUUGCAUACAGCUUGUCUGUGCAAUGCUGUCAUUGCAUUGUUGAAGGUACCUCUUUCAUUUCAAAGAUACUUUUUUCAGAAGCUGCAGUCUACAAGUAUUAAGCUUGCUCUGUCUCCAUCUCCAAGGAACCCAACAGAACCUAUUGCAGUACAGAACAAUCAGCAAUUGGCCCUAAAGGUAGAAGGAGUGGUUCAGCACGGGUCUAAACCCGGCCUUUUCCGUAAAAUCCAAUCCGUCUGUCUAAAUGUCUCUUCGGUGCUGCAGAGCAAAUCUGGACAAGAUUAUAAGGAUAUUCUAGCCUGGUUUUGGAUUCCACGAGCACUGAUUUAUUUGCUAACUGCACUGAUGACUGUAUCUAUAUGUUCAGUAUGACAAGUUUAAAGACUGCUCCAGAUGGCUCUAUGGACCAACUGCCCACCUCAAAGCAAUGCUAUUGAAUUCCAGGGCAGCUUGGCUCUAUGUUAAUGGAGUUUCUAGUUCACCUCAACCUCCUGAUUCAAGCACCUUGGACAAGUGAAAGAUUUAAUUUCCCUCAGUAAAAUACUGCAAUUAGCCUCAAACCAGCACAACUUCUCUCAACAGAGGUCAGUGUUUCAGAUCAGAUACUCAUGUUCAGGUCUGUCUUUUAAUGAUGUGCAUGUGCUAAAUGGCAGAUGGGAAUGCUGAUGAUUCACUGAAUGUGUUUGUGUAUAUACGUAAACACUACUUCAGCAAUAAAACCAGCUACCAGGAUGGCUAUGGCAACUUAAAACUUGUUUUCAGUGAAGCUCGUUCUGUAGUAUAAACACAGUGAGCUUUUGCUGUGACAGGACAGAUGGGAGAGCCCUCUGUGAUGCCUGUCUAACCACGUGAAAUGUGCCUUUCUCCAUCUCUUGGGUUUUGUGCUUUCUGGGCACUGCCCAUAUAGCCAUGACUAAUAACAGUUGCAGCCUAGUAAUCUACUACCAGGUCAGCCACUGUUUCCCUAUGAUGUAAGGUAGAUGUUCUGAUUCAUGAGUUCUCAUCUUUGACAACUUACAUCCUGCUGGUAAAAAAUGAGAAUAUUGUUUUUGGGAAGAAAAGCUGCUAGGAGCUUGAUGCCUUCUUCCUGCUGUAAGGUUUAGAUUGGUUCCAGCAGCUUCAAGGCAGCUCAGGGAGAAGUUGGCAUUAGCCAUCUCAAAUGCUCUGCUAUGUCAAUUUUUUUAAGAAGACACUUGUACUCUCUUGAGUUCUUACUUUCAGCUACUUCAUCACAAUCAUGGCAGCCAUAAAUCAUGUUUUGCAUGAUGUCAUUCCUCACUUUUAUUUUUAGUACUUGACUCCAGGAACUGCAACUUGAAAA
This is an RNA transcript of Pogoniulus pusillus (Red-fronted tinkerbird), 3669 nucleotides long. It is a transcript of the gene named integrator complex subunit 7, with no coding region annotated. NCBI's taxonomy places the organism in Eukaryota, Metazoa, Chordata, Aves, Piciformes, Lybiidae. The transcript has 22 exons. The record is from RefSeq and is a predicted model, not a curated record.